AGGGUGUAUCUCAGUGGUAAGAGCAUUUGCCUAGCAUGCAUGAGAUCCUGGGUUCCAUCGCCAGCACCACUA
RNAcentral lists this transfer RNA (72 nucleotides) under Marmota marmota marmota (Alpine marmot). It matches the Rfam family "tRNA". From Rfam's summary of the family: Transfer RNA (tRNA) molecules are approximately 80 nucleotides in length. RNAcentral also lists the same sequence under 1 other name. Lineage: Eukaryota; Metazoa; Chordata; Mammalia; Rodentia; Sciuridae. The record is from Rfam by way of RNAcentral.